This is a long non-coding RNA of Agrilus planipennis (emerald ash borer), 1301 nucleotides long. RefSeq lists it as uncharacterized. Lineage: Eukaryota; Metazoa; Arthropoda; Insecta; Coleoptera; Buprestidae. The transcript is spliced from 4 exons. The record is from RefSeq and is a predicted model, not a curated record.
ACGCUUACGCAUUAUCGUGGAGAUGGAUAUUGUCCGAAACUUCGUUCCAUCUCUUUCGUUGUACCACAAUUCUGACCGCUAAGGCACGUCCAUUAGUAGACAUCGAUGAAUGACACCAUGUCCAGCAUAGACAAGAGGUCUGUGAGAGAGGUUUACCAUUAUGUAUGGGUUUAGCAUUUUGUAGAUCUAUUAUCUAUGAUGUCGAUCUUAUCAUGUACAAGCGACGCCAUGUCGCCAAUAAUAAGAUUUCGCAAUUUUACAUGCUUUCGGUGCUUGUUUUCAUUGUUGUUUUUCGUGUUUCAAUUGUUUAGUGUAUUAAUAGUGUGGUUUAGUUUUUCUUCUCCAUAUUUUCAGAUUGACGAUAAAUAUGAGUGGAAAACGUUCGUUGUGUUGCGACUGAAAAAGUAUCUUUUCACUAUGGAAAAUGUUGUAGUUAAUUAAAAGCAUUGGUUGUAUGAGUCCUCAUUCUCUUGAGAAAGUAGCUGUACCUAUGACACUAAAGAAAGUAUGAAUUAAGAGCAAAGGCAGUGUGCUGUUGCUAAGGAUUUAUAACAGUGAACUGAUUGUUCAACAAAUGAGAGGGAAUUACAGUUAAUUUUGAUGCUUCUGACACAACUGUUGCUUUUGACGUCUUAAUUUUGUACUUGCAAGGGGGGGCAAAAGGAAGUUAAAACCACUGGAACAACAUUACCAGCAAUGGUAUCACUUCUGGAUUUGGCUUGCUCAUUUCACUUGUAGACUUUAGAACACUACUUUCUACAGUUACUUAAGGUGAGAAUUCAUGACAUAAUUAAUAUUAAUUGCUCUUUAUUAAUAUGUAAUGGCAUUUCUUUUAAAAAUACUCUGUUUACAGUAUAAAUUGACGUUAUGACGUGUAUUAUUUCUUUAAAAUAUCUAUUGUUCACAGUAUCUAUGUAAUUUCGUUUAACCUUUAUCUGUUGUCUACACCACGAAUUGACGUCUAUGAUUUCACAUUUAUCUAUCAAAUAUGAUCCGUCAUUAUGUAAACUUGACGCUUGUCGUCAUUUUAUAAUUUAGAUGUUUUAUUUGCGUUUUGAUCGUCUAACAAAUGAGAAGGAAUUAAAGUUCAUUUUGGUUGUACUAAAACAACCAAUGUCUGGAUGGGUGUGGUCUUUCAUGGAUCAUAUUGUUGAUUUGCACUUUUCUUCUUCGCCUUGCAACAUUAUGCAGUUACUUUUCAACCGAUGAGCGAGAUCAACUGAAGUUUAUUUGAAUUCCACUGGAAAUAACAAAUUUUCUGCAUUGGUAUUUCUCUUGGAUUUAGUUUGCUUUUCACACCA